UUUUCCUACGGGGCGCAGCAGUGAGGAAUAUUGGUCAAUGGGCUUACGCCUGAACCAGCCAAGUCGCGUGAGGGAAGACUGCCCUAUGGGUUGUAAACCUCUUUUGUCAGGGAGCAACGCCGGCUACGUGUAGCCGGACUGAGAGUACCUGAAGAAAAAGCAUCGGCUAACUCCGUGCCAGCAGCCGCGGUAAUACGGAGGAUGCGAGCGUUAUCCGGAUUUAUUGGGUUUAAAGGGUGCGUAGGUUGUUUUUUAAGUCAGCGGUGAAAGUUUGUGGCUCAACCAUAAAAUUGCCGUUGAAACUG
This 305-nucleotide ribosomal RNA is filed under the name uncultured bacterium. RNAcentral describes it as "bacterial SSU rRNA". It matches the Rfam family "Bacterial small subunit ribosomal RNA", at positions 334 to 635 of the family's 1533-position model. The record is from RNAcentral.